AAAACCUGCUACACAGCCCAGCCUCUUACUAAUGUUUAUUUGUUCUAAAAUAAGAGCUCUAUAGCCCAGAUGACCUUAAACUUACUGUGUAGCUGAGGAUGACCUUGAACUUGGGAUCCCCCUUCUUUCAUCUCCUAAACACUGGAAUUAUAAGUGCUAGGUGUGCCUUACCAUGCCUAGUUUACUGAUUGCUAAUAUUAAAAAAGGAAAGUUAAGUAAGUAUCCUACUCCUCAUUUGCAUAUCUAUUGACAUCUACUCCCUUCUAACCCCCAUGGGACAGACAGAGGUUGACCAGAUGUUCCUUUUUUUUUUCCAGACAUCUUUAGUGUGAUUUCAACUUCUUCCCAGAGUCCACACAUAACUCUCUAUCUCUGCUUGGGCUGCCCAGUUUGACUACAGUAUAAGAAAUCACUGGGUCUGCUUCAUUUCACAGACUGCUUCUGAAAUAAUGAUCCAUUCACUGUAUCACGAGGGCCCUGCCACAGCCAUAGAAGAAGACAGUCUGUGAACAGGUGCUGGGAACUGAACUUGUGUCCUCUGGAUACUCUUCUCUUAAUGACUGAGCCAUAUCUCCAGCCACAUCUGUUUUCGAAAUGCACAAAGGGAAAUGCUGAUGUGGCCAGGGGAGAAGAUGUCCUUAAUGACUAGCUAAGCUGGACAAGCUUGAGUAAGUUCUCCUACCUCUCAUCUGUCUUUUGGAAAAAAAUAAAGCAAACACAGGAA
Mesocricetus auratus (golden hamster) is the source of this 724-nucleotide long non-coding RNA. RefSeq lists it as uncharacterized. NCBI's taxonomy places the organism in Eukaryota, Metazoa, Chordata, Mammalia, Rodentia, Cricetidae. The transcript is spliced from 2 exons. The record is from RefSeq and is a predicted model, not a curated record.